This is a non-coding RNA of Xyrichtys novacula (pearly razorfish), 219 nucleotides long. NCBI's taxonomy places the organism in Eukaryota, Metazoa, Chordata, Actinopteri, Labriformes, Labridae. The record is from the annotation of a GenBank genome assembly.
UUUGUGAGGCGAAUUUCGUGGUCGAUUACAGACAGCAGGAAUCAGGAGAACCCGCAGAUUCACGUUCAAUCUCACGAUAACGAGUUGUCUCUCUAAAGACAGACACAUAGACAUAUAAGCAGUAGAUUGUGUCCUUCCAGAGGAGGAAAUCUACUUCUAGACUUCUAGAAUCAGCAUCUCCUCAUCCAUGGUGUCAUCGGGGUGAAAUGACGUCUAAAA